RNAcentral lists this ribosomal RNA (497 nucleotides) under uncultured bacterium. RNAcentral's name for it is "partial 16S ribosomal RNA". It matches the Rfam family "Bacterial small subunit ribosomal RNA", at positions 28 to 507 of the family's 1533-position model. The record is from RNAcentral.
GAUGAACGCUGGCGGCGUGCCUAAUACAUGCAAGUCGAGCGAACGGACGAGAAGCUUGCUUCUCUGAUGUUAGCGGCGGACGGGUGAGUAACACGUGGAUAACCUACCUAUAAGACUGGGAUAACUUCGGGAAACCGGAGCUAAUACCGGAUAAUAUUUUGAACCGCAUUGUUCAAAAGUGAAAGACGGUCUUGCUGUCACUUAUAGAUGGAUCCGCGCUGCAUUAGCUAGUUGGUAAGGUAACGGCUUACCAAGGCAACGAUGCAUAGCCGACCUGAGAGGGUGAUCGGCCACACUGGAACUGAGACACGUUCCAGACUCCUACGGGAGGCAGAAGUAGGGAAUCUUCCGCAAUGGGCGAAAGCCUGACGGAGCAACGCGGCGUGAGUGAUGAAGGUCUUCGGAUCGUAAAACACUGUUAUUAGGGAAGAACAUAUGUGUAAGUAACUGUGCACAUCUUGACGGUACCUAAUCAGAAAGCCACGGCUAACUACGUG